RNAcentral lists this transfer RNA (75 nucleotides) under Camelus bactrianus (Bactrian camel). It matches the Rfam family "tRNA". From Rfam's summary of the family: Transfer RNA (tRNA) molecules are approximately 80 nucleotides in length. Their secondary structure includes four short double-helical elements and three loops (D, anti-codon, and T loops). RNAcentral also lists the same sequence under 2 other names. The record is from Rfam by way of RNAcentral. Lineage: Eukaryota; Metazoa; Chordata; Mammalia; Artiodactyla; Camelidae.
GAGGGUAAAGCUCAGUGGUAAAGUGUAUGCUUAUUAGCAUGCACAAGGUCCUGGGUUCAAUCCCCAGUACCUCCA